GUCCACGCCCUAAACGAUGCGAACUGGACGUUGGGAUCAAUUGAGAUUUCAGUGUCGAAGCUAACGCGUUAAGUUCGCCGCCUGGGGAGUACGGUCGCAAGACUGAAACUCAAAGGAAUUGACGGGGGCCCCGCACAAGCGGUGGAGUAUGUGGUUUAAUUCGAUGCAACGCGAAGAACCUUACCUGGUCUUGACAUGCACGGAAUCCUUUAGAGAUAGAGGAGUGCCUUCGGGAACCGUGACACAGGUGCUGCAUGGCUGUCGU
Molecule: ribosomal RNA, 265 nt
Filed under: uncultured bacterium
Lineage: Bacteria
Description: partial 16S ribosomal RNA
Rfam family: Bacterial small subunit ribosomal RNA
Source: RNAcentral